GCUACAUUGACCCAGAGCCGUACAUCACCGCCUGCACAGACACUUUGUGUAAAUACCCGUCGGUGGACAAUAUGAAAUGUCAGUUUGUGGAGGCGUACGCCAAGUCCUGCAUCCUGAGAAACAACGUCACACUGGAGGGCUGGAGGGCACUGACUGGCUGCUUACAACUCAACAAACUCUUUAGGCGAGCCGACAGUCUGCAUGCAGAACUCUGCCUCUCUGACUCUGGCUGGAUGUCUGCUGGAGGACCAACACAUCGACUACUCCAUCUUACACCUCAAGGACCCGAGCUGCAAAGGUCAUAUGGACAACCAGAGCCACAUGGUGACUUUCAGCGUCGACAGCAGCAACACCUGCGGGACGGAGGUCACGAUGAACAACAGCCAAGUCAUCUACAAGAACUCCAUCACGAUGAACGGCUCUUUGAGCGGGAUCAUCACACGCCACGACCAAUUUCAGAUUGACUUCUCCUGCCUCUACAUACAACCUAACACCAAGAGUGUGUCCUUCAGGAUCACAGACAGGUGAG
RNAcentral lists this long non-coding RNA (529 nucleotides) under Cottoperca gobio. RNAcentral describes it as "lncRNA (ENSCGOG00000021201.1)". Lineage: Eukaryota; Metazoa; Chordata; Actinopteri; Perciformes; Bovichtidae. The record is from RNAcentral.